Molecule: long non-coding RNA, 139 nt
Organism: Hibiscus syriacus
Lineage: Eukaryota; Viridiplantae; Streptophyta; Magnoliopsida; Malvales; Malvaceae
Exons: 3
Source: RefSeq, a predicted model, not a curated record
GGAUCUACUUCUUUCAAGAGGCAAACGUGUGUCGAGUGUUGACAGGAUCUGGGGCAUGGACAUCCCUCCCGACACGACGAUUUCUGCAAUGGAAGAAUAUGAAUGAGACGUAAGCCUAAACUAGUGUAGAAUUAUCAUU